UUACGGCAAGUCCAGAUAGAGCUCCCAUUUUUCGUAAGAAGAUUCCAGCCAUGGUCUGUUUAUCAGGUGGCUGCAUGGGGGAACAUCAGAAGCAUAUGAUGUCUUGAAAAUGGAAAUCUUCCAAGCCGUAAAAAUUGAGGCAGAAUAGCAUUGGUGAGCGCCUGGGCUGAUGAUGGUCAACUUUCAUAAGGUUAAAAUGGAGAAAGCGAUAUCAGCAUAUGGAAUUUCAAGAGUCCUUGCCUAGUUGUGAUACCUUUCGUAUUUAGGACCCUUCAAGAUCUUCAUCAGUUGCAAUGUGACACACGUUACGUUGUCUCUGGUCUAGAAUGCUAGGAGCUACUAUCCCCCAACCUCGCCUUCAGUGCUACGGUUGUGGAACUAAGAGACCAUCGUACAGGCUACGAAAGGACAUUUUUCUAGAUAUAAUGCCCGAACGCAGAUACCAUCAAUCCUAGCCCAAAUGUCCAAGAUGCGAAACACUUAAUGGUGCUAACAACAAGCUCCCGUAGCCACUUUCAUUGAUGAUCGGGCGUCCUAGCAGUCUUGGUUUUUAAGGACACAGCUUGUCUGCAAAAAUUUAGAGAAUGUGGAAUGAUAAUGAAGAGCGAUUUACUGAAUGUAAGAGGAAUACAAUCUAAUAAUGGACUUGAGUCUUUUUAUAUAUUGACAAUUUUUGCGCUUCAUGGGUCACAGAUAUAAGUUAUAUGAAAUUAUAUUUAGUAAGUUUAAUUUCUUCACUUAUGACAGUGAAACAUUUUAUUCCAAUAGCUUAAGAGAAAACUGAAGUUCAGUAUGAUCAGUCAUAAUUCCAUAAAUGUUCAAUUGAAUAAGAUGAAUUGUGGUUCUGUGUGAAAAUUUUAAGACUGCCUCAACAGUUAUUAUUAAAAUUUAAAACAGAAUAUCCAGUUGCUUUAUCCACAUUCUUAUGCAGAUAGGUUUUCGCUCGCAAAGCAUUGGUAUUACCACCACUUAUGGUCGUCUGUGUUUUAUUUCAAUCUUAGUGAUGUAGUCAUUUUUCAUAUUUGUGCUUUUGAUGAUGUGGAGUUGUUCGUCAGUAUAGCGUUUGAGAAGAUCAUAGUCCGCACACUUACCUCAACUAACCCUAACAUCUUUGUAAAAUCCGACUUGAUGUAAAUGCUUUUACAUGAAGAGGUUUUACAUUGAUAGCUUGUGCAAAAUCUAUAAUGAAAUGUUUUGUUUGAGAAAAUAUUUCAUUAUAUUUUUGUACACAGUCUGCUCCUCGUGAGGGAUGGCUGGGUGCACACAGUCAUCUCUCAAGAUCGAGGAUCGCACAAUACUAAUAUACUAAUAUUAUGAUUUUCUCAAGUGUUAUAGUUGACAAAUAUUUCCAAUUCAUCAUGUAUGCACCUUUUUUCUUCGGACCCCAAAAUCCAUAUUGAAAUUUGCAUGGACGGUCAUACAAGGUAAUGUGAAAUAUGUCGAAGCAAGCUUGCUUUGUUCUUUGCUUGAAUCAUUACAUUUGAGAAACUUCUAAUCAAUCAUAUGUCAAAGUUUAUUUCAAUCAUUGAUGUAUGGCUAAUAAACAUAUUACCUGAAAUUUUAUAUAUUUUAUCAUGAGAGAGAAGUAUAUCCAAGUUUUGAUGUAUACUUUCAGUUGUACAAGGAUCGAGUUACUUUAUUUAUGACUUCAUCCUCUUUUUA
Long non-coding RNA from Lingula anatina, 1662 nucleotides. NCBI's taxonomy places the organism in Eukaryota, Metazoa, Brachiopoda, Lingulata, Lingulida, Lingulidae. The record is from RefSeq and is a predicted model, not a curated record.